ACACCUCAACUCUUCAUGGUUUUCUGUGAUGAGCUUGGACUUUGGGGGUUUUGCUGGCCUGCGGUCGGCUCCUCUAAAAUGAAUCAGCUUGCCAGUGUUUGGUGGGCAUCACAGGUGUGAUAACUAUCUACGCUUGUGGUUUUCCACCAGGUAACCUUCAGCAGUGGAGGUUCGCUGGAGCUCACAGAUGUCUCUCCUCAGCGAGGACAGCUCUUUGAAC
RNAcentral lists this unclassified non-coding RNA (220 nucleotides) under uncultured Tomentella. RNAcentral describes it as "sequence contains ITS2". The record is from RNAcentral. Lineage: Eukaryota; Fungi; Basidiomycota; Agaricomycetes; Thelephorales; Thelephoraceae.